RNAcentral lists this ribosomal RNA (1449 nucleotides) under uncultured archaeon. RNAcentral's name for it is "bacterial SSU rRNA". It matches the Rfam family "Archaeal small subunit ribosomal RNA". The record is from RNAcentral.
UUUCUGGUUGAUCCUGCCGGAGGCCACUGCUAUUGGGGUUCGGCUAAGCCAUGCGAGUGGAGGGCGUCCCGCAAGGGAUGGCCCCGCAGACGGCUCAGUAACACGUCGUUAACCUACCCUGGGGUGGGGGACAACCUCGGGAAACUGAGGAUAAUCCCCCAUAGGUGGGGGAGGCUGGAAUGCGCCCCCGCUGAAAGCUCAGGCGCCCCAGGACGGGGCGGCGGCCUAUCAGGUAGUUGGUGGUGUAACGGACCACCAAGCCUACGACGGGUACGGGCUGUGAGAGCAGGAGCCCGGAGAUGGGGACUGAGACAAGGCCCCAGGCCCUACGGGGCGCAGCAGGCGCGAAAACUCCGCAAUGCGCGCAAGCGUGACGGGGGAACCCCGAGUGCCGCUGAUCUUUGAUCGGCGGCUUUUCGGGAGUGCAGGGAGCUCCCGGAAUAAGGGCUGGGUAAGACUGGUGCCAGCCGCCGCGGUAAUACCAGCAGCCCAAGUGGUGGUCGCGUUUAUUGGGCCUAAAGCGCUCGUAGCCUGGCCGGUAAGUUCCCCGUGAAAUCGGGUCGCUCAACGAUUCGGCUUGCGGGGAAUACUGUCGGUCUUGGGGCCGGGAGACGCCGAGGGUAUUCCGGGGGUAGCGGUGAAAUGUUGUAAUCCCCGGAGGACUACCAGUGGCGAAGGCACUCGGCGAGAACGGGCCCGACUGUGAGGGGCGAAAGCUGGGGGAGCGAACGGGAUUAGAUACCCCGGUAGUCCCAGCCGUAAAGGAUGCGGGCAAGGUGCUUGUCGCUCUUCGAGGGCGCCAGGUGCCGUAGAGAAGUCGUUAAGCCCGCCGCCUGGGAAAGUACGGUCGCAAGGCUGAAACUUAAAGAAAUUGGCGGGGGAGCACCACAAGGGGUGGAGCCUGCGGUUCAAUUGGAUUCAACGCCGGACAACUCACCAGAGUCUUCGGCUGGAUGAGGGGCCAGUCUAAAGGGCUUGCCCGACUAGCCGAUAGGUGGUGCAUGGCCAUCGCCAGCUCGUACCGUGAGGCGUCCUGUCAAGUCAGGCAACGAGCGAGACUCUCGCCCUUAGUUGCCAUCGGCGGGAAGCCGGGCACUCUAGGGGGACCGCUGCCGCUAAGGCAGAGGAAGGAGAGGGCGACGGUAGGUCCGUAUGCCCCCAAUACUCUGGGUUACACGCGGGCUACAAUGGUCGGGACAAUGGGAUGCAACCCCGAAAGGGGAAGCCAAGCCCCUAAACCCGAUCUUAGUCCGGAUCGAGGGCUGAAACUCGCCCUCGUGAAGGUGGAAUCCCUAGUAAUCGCGCGCCACUACCGCGCGGUGAAUAUGUCCCUGCUCCUUGCACACACCGCCCGUCAAGCCACUCGAGUGGGGUCUAGAUGAGGUGGGCUCAAGUUGGGCCCCUCGAAUCUAGGUUCUGCAAGAGGGGCUAAGUCGUAACAAGGUAACC